AGAGUUUGAUCCUGGCUCAGAUUGAACGCUGAUGCUUUACACUGCAAGUCGAACGGUAACAGGCCUUCGGGCGCUGACGAGUGGCGAACGGGUGAGUAAUGUAUCGGAACGUACCUUUCAGUGGGGGAUAACGUAGCGAAAGUUACGCUAAUACCGCAUAUUCUGUGAGCAGGAAAGCAGGGGAUCGCAAGACCUUGCGCUGAUUGAGCGGCCGAUAUCAGAUUAGCUAGUUGGUGGGGUAAAGGCCUACCAAGGCUACGAUCUGUAGCGGGUCUGAGAGGAUGAUCCGCCACACUGGAACUGACACGGUCCAGACUCCUACGGGAGGCAGCAGUGGGGAAUUUUGGACAAUGGGGGCAACCCUGAUCCAGCCAUGCCGCGUGAGUGAAGAAGGCCUUCGGGUUGUAAAGCUCUUUCGGCCGGGAAGAAAUCGCAUAGGCUAAUACCCUGUGUGGAUGACGGUACCGGAAUAAGAAGCACCGGCUAACUACGUGCCAGCAGCCGCGGUAAUACGUAGGGUGCGAGCGUUAAUCGGAAUUACUGGGCGUAAAGCGUGCGCAGGCGGUUUAGUAAGACAGGCGUGAAAUUCCCGGGCUCAACCUGGGAACUGCGCUUGUGACUGCUAAGCUAGAGUACGGCAGAGGGGGGUGGAAUUCCACGUGUAGCAGUGAAAUGCGUAGAGAUGUGGAGGAACACCGAUGGCGAAGGCAGCCCCCUGGGCCAAUACUGACGCUCAUGCACGAAAGCGUGGGUAGCAACAGGAUUAGAUACCCUGAUAGUCCACGCCCUAAACGAUGUCAACUAGGUGUUGGGAGGGUAAAACCUUUUAGUACCGGAGCUAACGCGUGAAGUUGACCGCCUGGGGAGUACGGCCGCAAGGGUUAAAACUCAAAGGAAUUGACGGGGACCCGCACAAGCGGUGGAUGAUGUGAUUAAUUCGAUGCAACGCGAAAA
RNAcentral lists this ribosomal RNA (954 nucleotides) under uncultured beta proteobacterium. RNAcentral's name for it is "bacterial SSU rRNA". It matches the Rfam family "Bacterial small subunit ribosomal RNA", at positions 8 to 967 of the family's 1533-position model. Lineage: Bacteria; Pseudomonadati; Pseudomonadota; Betaproteobacteria. The record is from RNAcentral.